This 443-nucleotide unclassified non-coding RNA is filed under the name soil metagenome. RNAcentral describes it as "partial contains internal transcribed spacer 2 and large subunit ribosomal RNA". The stretch from base 1 to 121 matches the Rfam family "5.8S ribosomal RNA", at positions 35 to 154 of the family's 154-position model. The record is from RNAcentral.
GAUGAAGAACGUAGUGAAUUGCGAAAAGUAAUGUGACUUGCAUACAUCUGUGAACCAUCGAAUCUUUGAACGCACAUGGCACCGUUAGGUUCUGCCUAGCGGUAUACUUGUUUGAGAAUCGUAUAACCCUUUCGCUCCUUGCUCUGCGGGGAGCGGUGUUGAGACCUUAAGGCGGUGCUCAGUAUGGGCGCUGUCUUGGUCUUUAAAUGGAUCGCUUGCGAGUGCAUGGCCAAUGUGGUCGUCGUGGGCUCUGUGUGGUAAGGUGUGCACAACGCCAAUAGCACUUUGUUCCUGACCACCACACAUGCACCUCCAAGACCCUACUAAUCGUGCCUGCAGGCUUGAUUCACAAGGCGCGCCUCUUCGGGGACGCGGCCUUGGUCUACCGAUCUCAAAUCAAGCAAGACUACCCGCUGAACUUAAGCAUAUCAAUAAGCGGAGGA